RNAcentral lists this transfer RNA (73 nucleotides) under Synergistaceae bacterium. RNAcentral's name for it is "tRNA-OTHER". It matches the Rfam family "tRNA". From Rfam's summary of the family: Transfer RNA (tRNA) molecules are approximately 80 nucleotides in length. Their secondary structure includes four short double-helical elements and three loops (D, anti-codon, and T loops). Lineage: Bacteria; Thermotogati; Synergistota; Synergistia; Synergistales; Synergistaceae. The record is from RNAcentral.
GCCAGAGUCGCCCAGAUGGUUGGGAGCGCCGUUUCUUCGGUGGAUGACGUGGGUUCAAGUCCCACCUCUGGCA